RNAcentral lists this ribosomal RNA (468 nucleotides) under uncultured bacterium. RNAcentral's name for it is "partial 16S ribosomal RNA". It matches the Rfam family "Bacterial small subunit ribosomal RNA", at positions 28 to 507 of the family's 1533-position model. The record is from RNAcentral.
GACGAACGCUGGCGGCGUGCUUAACACAUGCAAGUCGAACGGAAAGGCCCUGCUUUUGUUGGUUGCUCGAUUGGCGAACGGGUGAGUAACACGUGAGUAACCUGCCCUUGACUUUGUGAUAACUUCAGGAAACUGGGGCUAAUACCGGAUAUGAUCUCCUGCUGCAUGUUGGGGGUUGGAAAGUUUCGGCGGUUGUGGAUGUACUCGCGGGUUAUCAGCUUGUUGGUGUGGUAGGUGCUUACCAAGGCUUUGACGGGUAGCCGGCCUGGGAGGGUGACCGGCCACAUUGGGACUGAGAUACGGCCCAGACUGCUACGGGAGGCAGCAGUGGGGAAUAUUGCACAAUGGGGGGAAGCCUGAUGCAGCAACGCCCGGUGCGGGAUGACGGCCUUCGGGGUGUAAACCGCUUUCGCAUGUGACGAAGAGUGAGUGACGGUAAUGGGUAAAGAAGCACCGGCUAACUACGUG